UACGUAGGGGGCGAGCGUUGUCCGGAUUUAUUGGGCGUAAAGAGCUCGUAGGCGGUUCGGCAAGUCGGAUGUGAAAUCUCCACGCUCAACGUGGAGGGGCCAUCCGAUACUGCCGUGACUCGAGUCCGGUAGGGGAGUGUGGAAUUCCCAGUGUAGCGGUGAAAUGCGCAGAUAUUGGGAGGAACACCAGCGGCGAAGGCGGCACUCUGGGCUGGUACUGACGCUGAGGAGCGAAAGCGUGGGUAGCGAACAGG
RNAcentral lists this ribosomal RNA (254 nucleotides) under uncultured bacterium. RNAcentral describes it as "partial 16S ribosomal RNA". It matches the Rfam family "Bacterial small subunit ribosomal RNA", at positions 524 to 776 of the family's 1533-position model. The record is from RNAcentral.